GGCGGACGGGUGAGUAACGCGUAAAGAACUUGCCCUUUAGACUGGGAUAACAGAGGGAAACUUCUGAUAAUACUGGAUAAGUUAGUAUAUCGCAUGAUAUGCAAAUGAAAGCUACGGCACUAAAGGAGAGCUUUGCGUCCUAUUAGCUAGUUGGUAAGGUAAGAGCUUACCAAGGCGAUGAUAGGUAGCCGGCCUGAGAGGGUGGACGGCCACAAGGGGACUGAGAUACGGCCCUUACUCCUACGGGAGGCAGCAGGA
Molecule: ribosomal RNA, 258 nt
Filed under: uncultured Leptotrichia sp.
Lineage: Bacteria; Fusobacteriati; Fusobacteriota; Fusobacteriia; Fusobacteriales; Leptotrichiaceae
Description: partial 16S ribosomal RNA
Rfam family: Bacterial small subunit ribosomal RNA
Source: RNAcentral